Molecule: ribosomal RNA, 678 nt
Filed under: uncultured Glomus
Lineage: Eukaryota; Fungi; Glomeromycota; Glomeromycetes; Glomerales; Glomeraceae
Description: SSU rRNA
Rfam family: Eukaryotic small subunit ribosomal RNA
Source: RNAcentral
GCCUACCAUGGUGGUAACGGGUAACGGGGUGUUAGGGCACGACACCGGAGAGGGAGCCUGAGAAACGGCUACCACAUCCAAGGAUGGCAGCAGGCGCGCAAAUUACCCGAUCCCGACACGGGGAGGUAGUGACAAUAAAUAACAAUACGGGGUUCUUUCGGAUUUCGUAAUUGGAAUGAGUACAAUUUAAAUCUCUUAACGAGGAACAAUUGGAGGGCAAGUCUGGUGCCAGCAGCCGCGGUAAUUCCAGCUCCAAUAGCGUAUAUUAAAGUUGCUGCAGUUAAAAAGCUCGUAGUUGAAUUUCGGGACCAUCAUGUCGGUCGUGCCUCGGUACGUACUGGCAUCGUCGGUUUCUCCCUUCUGACGAACCAUGAUGUCAUUUAUUUGGUGUUGUGGGGAAUCAGGACUGUUACUUUGAAAAAAUUAGAGUGUUUAAAGCAGGCUCACGCUUGAAUACAUUAGCAUGGAAUAAUGAAAUAGGACGUUUGAUUCUAUUUUGUUGGUUUCUAGGAUCGACGUAAUGAUUAAUAGGGAUAGUUGGGGGCAUUAGUAUUCAAUUGUCAGAGGUGAAAUUCUUGGAUUUAUUGAAGACUAACUACUGCGAAAGCAUUUGCCAAGGAUGUUUUCAUUAAUCAAGAACGAAAGUUAGGGGAUCGAAGACGAUCAGAUACCGUCGUA